Molecule: ribosomal RNA, 497 nt
Filed under: uncultured bacterium
Lineage: Bacteria
Description: partial 16S ribosomal RNA
Rfam family: Bacterial small subunit ribosomal RNA
Source: RNAcentral
GAUGAACGCUGGCGGCGUGCCUAAUACAUGCAAGUCGAGCGAACGGACGAGAAGCUUGCUUCUCUGAUGUUAGCGGCGGACGGGUGAGUAACACGUGGAUAACCUACCUAUAAGACUGGGAUAACUUCGGGAAACCGGAGCUAAUACCGGAUGAUAUUUUGAACCGCAUGGUUCAAUAGUGAAAGACGGUCUUGCUGUCACUUAUAGAUGGAUCCGCGCUGCAUUAGCUAGUUGGUAAGGUAACGGCUUACCAAGGCAACGAUGCAUAGCCGACCUGAGAGGGUGAUCGGCCACACUGGAACUGAGACACGGUCCAGACUCCUACGGGAGGCAGCAGUAGGGAAUCUUCCGCAAUGGGCGAAAGCCUGACGGAGCAACGCCGCGUGAGUGAUGAAGGUCUUCGGAUCGUAAAACUCUGUUAUUAGGGAAGAACAUAUGUGUAAGUAACUAUGCACGUCUUGACGGUACCUAAUCAGAAAGCCACGGCUAACUACGUG